RNAcentral lists this unclassified non-coding RNA (269 nucleotides) under Orbilia rhopalota. RNAcentral describes it as "sequence contains 5.8S rRNA gene". The stretch from base 1 to 53 matches the Rfam family "5.8S ribosomal RNA", at positions 102 to 154 of the family's 154-position model. The record is from RNAcentral. Lineage: Eukaryota; Fungi; Ascomycota; Orbiliomycetes; Orbiliales; Orbiliaceae.
GAACGCACAUUGCGCCUAUUGGUAUUCCAUUAGGCAUGUCUGUUUGAGCGUCAUUACAACCCCUCAGCGCAAGCUGGUUUUGAGCCGGUCAGUCGUAAAAAGCCGACCGGUUUUAAAGUUGUAAGCUCUGCUGGCUGCUACGCCCAACCAAAAACAUAGUAAACUUUUGCUUGUUUGAAGGUGAGGCUUGCAGGUUAACCGGCCUGAACAAAACCUACUAUUUCUAAGGUUUGACCUCAGAUCAGACAAGGAUACCCGCUGAACUUAAG